This 353-nucleotide ribosomal RNA is filed under the name uncultured bacterium. RNAcentral describes it as "partial 16S ribosomal RNA". It matches the Rfam family "Bacterial small subunit ribosomal RNA", at positions 523 to 878 of the family's 1533-position model. The record is from RNAcentral.
AUACGUAGGAGGCAAGCGUUAUCCGGAUUUACUGGGUGUAAAGGGCGCGUAGGCGGGGGUGCAAGUCAGAUGUGAAAGCCCGGGGCUCAACCCCGGAAGUGCCGUUGAUACUGCGUGGCUGGAAUGCGGUCGAGGCGGGCGGAACGUGGCGUGUAGCGGUGAAAUGCGUAGAUAUGCCACAGAACGCCGAUAGCGGAGGCAGCUCGCCAGGCCUGCAUUGACGCUCGGGCACGAAAGCGUGGGGAUCGAACAGGAUUAGAUACCCUGGUAGUCCACGCCGUAAACGAUGGGCGCUCGUCGUCGGCGGCAGACAGUCGGCGGCCAAGCGAAAGCGAUAAGCGUCCCACCUGGGG